Molecule: unclassified non-coding RNA, 328 nt
Filed under: soil metagenome
Description: partial contains 5.8S ribosomal RNA, internal transcribed spacer 2, and large subunit ribosomal RNA
Rfam family: 5.8S ribosomal RNA (bases 1-120)
Source: RNAcentral
GAUGAAGAACGUAGCGAAAUGCGAUAAGUAAUGUGAAUUGCAGAAUUCAGUGAAUCAUCGAAUCUUUGAACGCACAUUGCGCCCCUUGGUAUUCCGGGGGGCAUGCCUGUUCGAGCGUCAUUAUAACCCUCAAGCUCAGCUUGGUGUUGGGGCCUGCUGCACUGGCAGCCCUUAAAAUCAGUGGCGGCGCCAUCUGGCUCUAAGCGUAGUAAUUCUUCUCGCUAUGGAGUCCUGGUGGAUGCUUGCCAUCAACCCCCAAUUUUUCUAUGGUUGACCUCGGAUCAGGUAGGGAUACCCGCUGAACUUAAGCAUAUCAAUAAGCGGAGGA